This 253-nucleotide ribosomal RNA is filed under the name uncultured bacterium. RNAcentral describes it as "partial 16S ribosomal RNA". It matches the Rfam family "Bacterial small subunit ribosomal RNA", at positions 524 to 776 of the family's 1533-position model. The record is from RNAcentral.
UACGUAGGGAGCUAGCGUUGUUCGGAAUCACUGGGCGUAAAGGGAGCGUAGGCGGAAUGGCAAGUUAGGAGUUAAAGGCAUGGGCUCAACCCAUUGCAUGCUCUUAAUACUGCUGUUCUUGAGUAUGGGAGAGGAUGAUGGAAUUCCUGGUGUAGCGGUGGAAUGCGUAGAUAUCAGGAAGAACACAGGUUGCGAAGGCGGUCAUCUGGCCCAAUACUGACGCUGAGGCUCGAAAGCUAGGGGAGCAAACAGG